RNAcentral lists this ribosomal RNA (441 nucleotides) under uncultured bacterium. RNAcentral describes it as "bacterial SSU rRNA". It matches the Rfam family "Bacterial small subunit ribosomal RNA", at positions 29 to 469 of the family's 1533-position model. The record is from RNAcentral.
AUUAAACGCUGGCGGCAUGCCUUACACAUGCAAGUCGAACGGCAGCACGGGGGCAACCCUGGUGGCGAGUGGCGGACGGGUGAGUAAUACAUCGGAACGUGCCCUGGAGUGGGGGAUAACGCAGCGAAAGCUACGCUAAUACCGCAUAUUCUGUGAGCAGGAAAGCAGGGGAUCGCAAGACCUUGCGCUUUGGGAGCGGCCGAUGUCGGAUUAGCUAGUUGGUGGGGUAAAGGCCUACCAAGGCGACGAUCCGUAGCGGGUCUGAGAGGAUGAUCCGCCACACUGGGACUGAGACACGGCCCAGACUCCUACGGGAGGCAGCAGUGGGGAAUUUUGGACAAUGGGCGGAAGCCUGAUCCAGCCAUGCCGCGUGAGUGAAGAAGGCCUCGGGUUGGUAAAGGUCUCUUUCGGUCGGGGGAAGGAAAGUUAGACUUGGGUUAA